RNAcentral lists this RNase P RNA (389 nucleotides) under Salipaludibacillus agaradhaerens. RNAcentral describes it as "RNase P RNA component class B". It matches the Rfam family "Bacterial RNase P class B". Rfam says of the family: Ribonuclease P (RNase P) is a ubiquitous endoribonuclease, found in archaea, bacteria and eukarya as well as chloroplasts and mitochondria. The record is from RNAcentral. RNAcentral also lists the same sequence under 1 other name. Lineage: Bacteria; Bacillati; Bacillota; Bacilli; Caryophanales; Bacillaceae.
UGUCUAGGUAAUCGCUGCGCUGGUAACAGUGUAGAGGAAAGUCCAUGCUCACACAAUCUGAGAGUGAUUGUAGUGUUCGUGCCUGACGAAUUCAUAAGUCAGGGUAGUCUGUGAAUCAGGCUAACGGCAGGAGGCUUGCCUAAGUUAGUGUUUACUAAUAAGGUAAGUGCACCUUGAAAGUGCCACAGUGACGUAGUCUGUCUGGAAACGGACAGAGUGGAACGCGGUAAACCCCACGAGUGAGAAACCCAAAAACAUGGUAGGGGCAUCUUUGCGAAGGAAAUGAACGGAGCAAAGGACAGAUAUCGUUCUGUAGACAGAUGAUUACCACCUUAGUACGAGGGUGACUCCCGUUUGUAGUGCAAAGGUACAGAACAUGGCUUACGAAG